GAUGAACGCUGGCGGCGUGCCUAAUACAUGCAAGUCGAGCGAACAGACGAGACUGCUUGCACUCUCUGACGUUGGCGGCGGGCGGGUGAGUAACACGUAGGCAACCUACCUCUUAGGCUGGGCUAACUGCGGGAAACCCGAGCAAAUACUGGAUAAUAUUUAGCUUCGGAUGGAGCAAGAGUGAAAGACGGUUCUGCUGUGGACUCUAGGUGUAUCCGCGGGGUAGUAGCGAGGUGGCGUGGUAACGGCUUGACAAGGCGACGAUACGUAAGCGAAGUGAGAGAGUGAUCGGCGGCACUAGAAGUGAGACACGGCCAAGACUACUGCGGGAGGCAGCAGUAGGGAAUCUGCCGCAAUGGACGAAAGUCUGACGGAGCAGUGCCGCGUGAGUGGAGAAGGUGUUCGGAUCGUAAAACUCUGUUGUAAGUGAAGAACAGGUACGUCAGUAACUGAACGGAGCUUGACGGUAACGGAUCAGAAAGCCCCGGCUAACUACGUG
This 499-nucleotide ribosomal RNA is filed under the name uncultured bacterium. RNAcentral describes it as "partial 16S ribosomal RNA". It matches the Rfam family "Bacterial small subunit ribosomal RNA", at positions 28 to 507 of the family's 1533-position model. The record is from RNAcentral.